This 523-nucleotide long non-coding RNA is filed under the name Hordeum vulgare. RNAcentral's name for it is "long non-coding RNA (HVUL_LNC017290)". Lineage: Eukaryota; Viridiplantae; Streptophyta; Magnoliopsida; Poales; Poaceae. The record is from RNAcentral.
UCUCAGCUACUUGUGCUUCCAUGGCUGCCAGGUGCUUGGUUGCCAUUUAGUGAACAUGGGAUUGGUGAGGUAGUCCGGUCGAUGCAGCGUUGGAAGUUGGCUCUCAGUAACCAGUGUUCCUCUCAAUUGAUAUAAGAUGGUCGAGUCUACAGAGCUGCCGGGAAAAGAAGAAGAACAGAAAGGGCAGCGGGUGGCCGAAACAAGACAAUUCCUAAUCAAUCCAUGCCUCGCCGAGUCCACUUGAUGGCUAGAUAUGUCACGUGGCUAGGUAUAGCCAGACGCCCACUCUGGACCUGCCAUUCUUGUAUAGGGCCCUCUAAGUGUGGGUCCCACCUUGUCAGGCACGUCUCCUUGUCGCCAUGGUUCUCCAUACCUAUCUCUUGAUGCACACUGAUGCUGCCAUCCUUCCAGUUGCAACAUGAAUCUUUAUGCAAUCAUGCAUGCUAGCUCGCUCACUGUUUGAAGUUCUCAGAUGAAUCAACUAGAACAAUAGCAUCACAUCUGCUGUUUCCCGGCCUUGAAN